AUUGAACGCUGGCGGCAGGCCUAACACAUGCAAGUCGAGCGAGCGGCGGACGGGUGAGUAAUGUUUGGGAAACUGCCUGAUGGAGGGGGAUAACUACUGGAAACGGUAGCUAAUACCGCAUACCAUCAGAUGUACCCAGAUGGGAUUAGCUAGUAGGUGGGGUAACGGCUCACCAAGGCGACGAUACCUAGCGGGUCUGAGAGGAGGACCAGCCCCACGGGAACUGAGCCACGGUCCAGACUCCUACGGAAGGCAGCAGUGGGGAAUAUUGCACAAGGGGCGCAAGCCUGAUGCAGCCAUGCCGCGUGUGUGAAGAAGGCCUUCGGGUUGUAAAGCACUUUCAGCGGGGAGGCGUUACCCGCAGAAGAAGCACCGGCUAACUCCGUGCCAGCAGCCGCGGUAAUUC
This 406-nucleotide ribosomal RNA is filed under the name uncultured bacterium. RNAcentral describes it as "partial 16S ribosomal RNA". It matches the Rfam family "Bacterial small subunit ribosomal RNA", at positions 29 to 526 of the family's 1533-position model. The record is from RNAcentral.